GAGUUUGAUCUUGGCUCAGAUUGAACGCUGGCGGCAGGCCUAACACAUGCAAGUCGAGCGGAUGACGGGAGCUUGCUCCUUGAUUCAGCGGCGGACGGGUGAGUAAUGCCUAGGAAUCUGGCCUGGUAGUGGGGGACAACGUUUCGAAAGGAACGCUAAUACCGCAUACGUCCUACGGGAGAAAGCAGGGGACCUUCGGGCCUUGCGCUAUCAGAUGAGCCUAGGUCGGAUUAGCUAGUUGGUGGGGUAAUGGCUCACCAAGGCGACGAUCCGUAACUGGUCUGAGAGGAUGAUCAGUCACACUGGAACUGAGACACGGUCCAGACUCCUACGGGAGGCAGCGAGUGGGGAAUAUUGGACAAUGGGACGAAAGCCUGAUCCAGCCAUGCCGCGUGUGU
RNAcentral lists this ribosomal RNA (398 nucleotides) under bacterium enrichment culture clone ALO1_GLFRUDD03GGAC7. RNAcentral describes it as "bacterial SSU rRNA". It matches the Rfam family "Bacterial small subunit ribosomal RNA", at positions 9 to 406 of the family's 1533-position model. The record is from RNAcentral.